This 239-nucleotide unclassified non-coding RNA is filed under the name uncultured fungus. RNAcentral describes it as "sequence contains ITS1, 5.8S rRNA gene". The stretch from base 191 to 239 matches the Rfam family "5.8S ribosomal RNA", at positions 1 to 49 of the family's 154-position model. Lineage: Eukaryota; Fungi. The record is from RNAcentral.
UUUCCGUAGGUGAACCUGCGGAAGGAUCAUUACCGAGUUAGGGUUGCCUUUCUAGGUGCCCGACCUCCCAACCCUGUGUGAACACAUCUUGUUGCUUCGGGGGCGACCCUGCCGGCACUCGGUCGCCGGGCGCCCCCGAAGGUCUCCCAACACUGCAUCUUUGCGUCGGAGUUUAAAACAAAUUAAACAAAACUUUCAACAACGGAUCUCUUGGUUCUGGCAUCGAUGAAGAACGCAGC